GGAGAGGUGUCUGAGUGGUUGAAAGAGCACGAUUGGAAAUCGUGUAUGUCUUGAAAAAGGCAUCGAGGGUUCGAAUCCCUCUCUCUCCACCA
RNAcentral lists this transfer RNA (92 nucleotides) under bacterium. Its description in RNAcentral is "tRNA-Ser". It matches the Rfam family "tRNA". From Rfam's summary of the family: Transfer RNA (tRNA) molecules are approximately 80 nucleotides in length. The record is from RNAcentral.